UGCAGAAUCCCGUGAACCAUCGAGUCUUUGAACGCAAGUUGCGCCCGACGCCUUCGGGCUGAGGGCACGCCUGCCUGGGCGUCACGCAUCGCGUCGCCCCCUACACCAAUUUGGUGCGGGGGCGGAUAAUGGCAUCCCGUUAGCUCGGUUUGCCCAAAAAGGAUCCCUCAUCGACGGAUGUCACAACCAGUGGUGGUUGAAAGAUCAUUGGUGCCGUUGUGCUUCACUCCGUCGCAUGCUUGGGCAUCGUUACAAAACAAUGGUGCUAACGCGCCUUCGACCGCGACCCCAGGUCAGACGGGACUACCCGCUGAGUUUAAGCAUAUCAAUAAGCGGUGGAGAAGAAACUUACAAGGAUUCCCCUAGUAACGGCGAGCGAACCGGGAAUAGCCCAACUUGAGAAUCGGGCGGCCACGCCGUCCGA
This 424-nucleotide ribosomal RNA is filed under the name Plantago major (common plantain). RNAcentral describes it as "eukaryotic LSU rRNA". The stretch from base 284 to 424 matches the Rfam family "Eukaryotic large subunit ribosomal RNA", at positions 1 to 141 of the family's 3401-position model. The record is from RNAcentral. Lineage: Eukaryota; Viridiplantae; Streptophyta; Magnoliopsida; Lamiales; Plantaginaceae.